This 327-nucleotide ribosomal RNA is filed under the name uncultured Bacteroidota bacterium. RNAcentral's name for it is "bacterial SSU rRNA". It matches the Rfam family "Bacterial small subunit ribosomal RNA", at positions 568 to 898 of the family's 1533-position model. The record is from RNAcentral. Lineage: Bacteria; Pseudomonadati; Bacteroidota.
UCCGUAGGCGGUUUAGUAAGUCAGUGGUGAAAGCCCAUCGCUCAACGGUGGAACGGCCAUUGAUACUGCUAGACUUGAAUUAUUAGGAAGUAACUAGAAUAUGUAGUGUAGCGGUGAAAUGCUUAGAGAUUACAUGGAAUACCAAUUGCGAAGGCAGGUUACUACUAAUUGAUUGACGCUGAUGGACGAAAGCGUGGGUAGCGAACAGGAUUAGAUACCCUGGUAGUCCACGCCGUAAACGAUGGAUACUAGCUGUUGGGGGCGAACUUCAGUGGCUAAGCGAAAGUGAUAAGUAUCCCACCUGGGGAGUACGAACGCAAGUUUGAA